GGGUUGUGAGGUUAAGCGACUAAGCGUACACGGUGGAUGCCCUGGCAGUCAGAGGCGAUGAAGGACGUGCUAAUCUGCGAAAAGCGUCGGUAAGGUGAUAUGAACCGUUAUAACCGGCGAUGUCCGAAUGGGGAAACCCAGUGUGAUUCGUCACACUAUCGUUAACUGAAUACAUAGGUUAACGAGGCGAACCGGGGGAACUGAAACAUCUAAGUACCCCGAGGAAAAGAAAUCAACCGAGAUUCCCCCAGUAGCGGCGAGCGAACGGGGAGCAGCCCAGAGUCUGAAUCAGCUUGUGUGUUAGUGGAACGGUCUGGAAAGUCCGACGGUACAGGGUGAUAGUCCCGUACACCAAAAAUGCACAGGCUGUGAACUCGAAGAGUAGGGCGGGACACGUGGUAUCCUGUCUGAAUAUGGGGGACCAUCCUCCAAGGCUAAAUACUCCUGACUGACCGAUAGUGAACCAGUACCGUGAGGGAAAGGCGAAAAGAACCCCGGCGAGGGAGUGAAAAAGAACCUGAAACCGUGUACGUACAAGCAGUGGGAGCACCUUCGGGUGUGACUGCGUACCUUUGUAUAAUGGGUCAGCGACUUAUAUUCUGUAGCAAGGUUAACCGUAUAGGGGAGCCGCAGGGAAACCGAGUCUUAACUGGGCGUUAAGUUGCAGGGUAUAGACCCGAAACCCGGUGAUCUAGCCAUGGGCAGGUUGAAGGUUGGGUAACACUAACUGGAGGACCGAACCGACUAAUGUUGAAAAAUUAGCGGAUGACUUGUGGCUGGGGUGAAAGGCCAAUCAAACCGGGAGAUAGCUGGUUCUCCCCGAAAGCUAUUUAGGUAGCGCCUCGUGAACUCAUCUUCGGGGGUAGAGCACUGUUUCGGCUAGGGGGUCAUCCCGACUUACCAACCCGAUGCAAACUACGAAUACCGAAGAAUGUUAUCACGGGAGACACACGGCGGGUGCUAACGUCCGUCGUGAAGAGGGAAACAACCCAGACCGCCAGCUAAGGUCCCAAAGUCAUGGUUAAGUGGGAAACGAUGUGGGAAGGCACAGACAGCCAGGAUGUUGGCUUAGAAGCAGCCAUCAUUUAAAGAAAGCGUAAUAGCUCACUGGUCGAGUCGGCCUGCGCGGAAGAUGUAACGGGGCUAAACCAUGCACCGAAGCUGCGGCAGCGACACUAUGUGUUGUUGGGUAGGGGAGCGUUCUGUAAGCCUGCGAAGGUGACCUGUGAGGGUUGCUGGAGGUAUCAGAAGUGCGAAUGCUGACAUAAGUAACGAUAAAGCGGGUGAAAAGCCCGCUCGCCGGAAGACCAAGGGUUCCUGUCCAACGUUAAUCGGGGCAGGGUGAGUCGACCCCUAAGGCGAGGCCGAAAGGCGUAGUCGAUGGGAAACAGGUUAAUAUUCCUGUACUUGGUGUUACUGCGAAGGGGGGACGGAGAAGGCUAUGUUAGCCGGGCGACGGUUGUCCCGGUUUAAGCAUGUAGGCUGGUUAUCCAGGCAAAUCCGGAUAAUCAAGGCUGAGGUGUGAUGACGAGGCACUACGGUGCUGAAGUAACAAAUGCCCUGCUUCCAGGAAAAGCCUCUAAGCAUCAGGUAACAUCAAAUCGUACCCCAAACCGACACAGGUGGUCAGGUAGAGAAUACCAAGGCGCUUGAGAGAACUCGGGUGAAGGAACUAGGCAAAAUGGUGCCGUAACUUCGGGAGAAGGCACGCUGGUGUGUAGGUGAAGCCCCUGCGGGUGGAGCUGAGACCAGUCGAAGAUACCAGCUGGCUGCAACUGUUUAUUAAAAACACAGCACUGUGCAAACACGAAAGUGGACGUAUACGGUGUGACGCCUGCCCGGUGCCGGAAGGUUAAUUGAUGGGGUUAUCCGUAAGGAGAAGCUCUUGAUCGAAGCCCCGGUAAACGGCGGCCGUAACUAUAACGGUCCUAAGGUAGCGAAAUUCCUUGUCGGGUAAGUUCCGACCUGCACGAAUGGCGUAAUGAUGGCCAGGCUGUCUCCACCCGAGACUCAGUGAAAUUGAACUCGCUGUGAAGAUGCAGUGUACCCGCGGCAAGACGGAAAGACCCCGUGAACCUUUACUAUAGCUUGACACUGAACAUUGAGCCUUGAUGUGUAGGAUAGGUGGGAGGCUUUGAAGCGUGGACGCCAGUCUGCGUGGAGCCAACCUUGAAAUACCACCCUUUAAUGUUUGAUGUUCUAACGUUGGCCCCUUACCGGGGUUGCGGACAGUGUCUGGUGGGUAGUUUGACUGGGGCGGUCUCCUCCCAAAGCGUAACGGAGGAGCACGAAGGUUAGCUAAUCCUGGUCGGACAUCAGGAGGUUAGUGCAAUGGCAUAAGCUAGCUUGACUGCGAGCGUGACGGCGCGAGCAGGUGCGAAAGCAGGUCAUAGUGAUCCGGUGGUUCUGAAUGGAAGGGCCAUCGCUCAACGGAUAAAAGGUACUCCGGGGAUAACAGGCUGAUACCGCCCAAGAGUUCAUAUCGACGGCGGUGUUUGGCACCUCGAUGUCGGCUCAUCACAUCCUGGGGCUGAAGUAGGUCCCAAGGGUAUGGCUGUUCGCCAUUUAAAGUGGUACGCGAGCUGGGUUUAGAACGUCGUGAGACAGUUCGGUCCCUAUCUGCCGUGGGCGCUGGAGAAUUGAGGGGGGCUGCUCCUAGUACGAGAGGACCGGAGUGGACGCAUCACUGGUGUUCGGGUUGUCAUGCCAAUGGCACUGCCCGGUAGCUAAAUGCGGAAGAGAUAAGUGCUGAAAGCAUCUAAGCACGAAACUUGCCCCGAGAUGAGUUCUCCCUGAGACUUUAAGUCUCCUGAAGGAACGUUGAAGACGACGACGUUGAUAGGCCGGGUGUGUAAGCGCAGCGAUGCGUUGAGCUAACCGGUACUAAUGAACCGUGAGGCUUAACCUUACAACGCCGAAG
RNAcentral lists this ribosomal RNA (2920 nucleotides) under Klebsiella pneumoniae. RNAcentral describes it as "23S ribosomal RNA". It matches the Rfam family "Bacterial large subunit ribosomal RNA". The record is from RNAcentral. Lineage: Bacteria; Pseudomonadati; Pseudomonadota; Gammaproteobacteria; Enterobacterales; Enterobacteriaceae.